CCUACGGGGGGCAGCAGUGAGGAAUAUUGGUCAAUGGACGCAAGUCUGAACCAGCCAUGCCGCGUGCAGGAAGACGGCCCUAUGAGUUGUAAACUGCUUUUGUAAGGGGGUAAAGGCAGAUACGCGUACCUGUUUGAAAGUAUCGUACGAAUAAGGAUCGGCUAACUCCGUGCCAGCAGCCGCGGUAAUACGGAGGAUUCAAGCGUUAUCCGGAUUUAUUGGGUUUAAAGGGUGCGUAGGCGGUCGGUUAAGUUAGGGGUGAAAUCCCGAGGCUCAACUUCGGAAUUGCCUCUGAUACUGUUCGGCUUGAGAGUAGUUGCGGUAGGCGGAAUGUAUGGUGUAGCGGUGAAAUGCUUAGAGAUCAUACAGAACACCGAUUGCGAAGGCAGCUUACCAAGCUACUUCUGACGUUGAGGCACGAAAGCGUGGGGAGCAAACAGGAUUAGAUACCCGGGUAGUC
Molecule: ribosomal RNA, 460 nt
Filed under: uncultured bacterium
Lineage: Bacteria
Description: partial 16S ribosomal RNA
Rfam family: Bacterial small subunit ribosomal RNA
Source: RNAcentral